AAUCAGAAAGCCACGGCUAACUACGUGCCAGCAGCCGCGGUAAUACGUAGGUGGCAAGCGUUAUCCGGAAUUAUUGGGCGUAAAGCGCGCGUAGGCGGUUUUUUAAGUCUGAUGUGAAAGCCCACGGCUCAACCGUGGAGGGUCAUUGGAAACUGGAAAACUUGAGUGCAGAAGAGGAAAGUGGAAUUCCAUGUGUAGCGGUGAAAUGCGCAGAGAUAUGGAGGAACACCAGUGGCGAAGGCGACUUUCUGGUCUGUAACUGACGCUGAUGUGCGAAAGCGUGGGGAUCAAACAGGAUUAGAUACCCUGGUAGUCCACGCCGUAA
This 325-nucleotide ribosomal RNA is filed under the name Staphylococcus aureus. RNAcentral's name for it is "bacterial SSU rRNA". It matches the Rfam family "Bacterial small subunit ribosomal RNA", at positions 481 to 805 of the family's 1533-position model. The record is from RNAcentral. Lineage: Bacteria; Bacillati; Bacillota; Bacilli; Caryophanales; Staphylococcaceae.